UUAAAUUUUCUAGUAGCCACAGUAAGAAAAGUAAAAAAAAGAUGAAAUUAAUUUUAAUAAUAUAUUUUAUAUAAUUCAAUAUAUCAAAAUAUUAUCAUUUCAGCAUGUGGCACUAGUAACAUUUUAGGUGCUCAGUAGCCACAUGUAGCCAGUGGCUAGACUAUUUGACAGAAUAGCUCCAACUGAUAGGGAGGCAGGGAAAAUGAGUAUACAGACUUUUAGUUUCCAUAGUGAGAAGUAGGUUCUGCUUCAUGAGGAGAGCGUUUUCCCAAACACAUGAAGAGGGCUCAGAUACAGUCUUGCAAAUGAAAAAUAAGGUCAAAGGAAAAUCAAGACUGGGUUGUAGAAAAUGGGAGAUGGUAAACUAAGAACUUUUGUCAUUAAUUUUAUGGUAUAGUGAUUGGGAACCAUUGAAGAUUUCUAAACUGAGGAAUUACUUUGAAAGAUUUAAGAGAAGUAUUGUGCAGAGGUAGGUAUAAGUCUACGAAUGCCAGAAUUGGAAUUAGAAGUCCUAAAGAGCCCUGGUAACGCAGUGGUUAAGCACUUGGUGAAAGAAAGACCUGGCGACCUGCACCCAUGAGGAUUACAGCCUAGGAACCUCUAUAGAGCCGAUCUACUUUGUCCAAUGGGGGGUUGUUUUGAGUUGGAAUCAACACAAUGGCACACCACAACGGCAACAGGUUUUAGUUAAGCAACAGGUAGUGCAAUGGUUCAGUGCUCGGCUGCUAACCAAAAGAUCAGCAGUUCAGUUCGAACCUACCAGCUAUUCCUCAAGAGAAAAGACCUGGUGAUCUGUUCCUACGAAAAUUACAGCCUAGGAAGCCCUAUGGGGCAGUUCUACACUGUUUUAUGGGGUCCCUAAGAGUUGGAAUUGACUUGAUGGCAAAUAACAACAGGUUUUAAUUAUGCUUCCUCUCCGAGCAGCCUUAGGCAGUGGUUUCUCUGGAUUUCUUAUUUUCAGAAAUGAGGAUGAUAAUAUCUAUCUCUCAGGCUUGUUGUGAAGAUUUAAUAAAAUAGUGUGUGGGAAAUGCCUUGCACCUGGUAGGUGCUCCAUAAGUAUUACUUAAAUCUGAAUGAAUCGGAGUAUCUGGUUAGAGGGUUAGACAAACAGCAAGGAGUUUGGACUAUUUCCCAAAAGCCAAGAAGAACAUUCUAGGAUAAAAAGUAAAAAAAUAUGCAUUCCAGAUAUCUCAACUCUACUUCAGCUUGGACAAGUUAAAAUGUAUAGGCUGUUUCCUAAGUAGCUCAUUUCUUCUCUGAAGACUUUACUAGUCAUCCCUGGCUAGAGAUGAUCUCUCCUUCCAUGGCUAUAUGGAGAAAAACCUAAGUUCCACUUUUCAUACCAAAUUGUAAAGGUCAAUCAAAUCCAUGCAAUCUAUCAUCUGUUCUGUUCCCUUCUGUUCCAUUUCAGUUCUGAACCAGCUGCACAUGAAGCGCUUCUUCCUUUGACCCUAGCCGCCUGAAGCUAGGUCAGAUCUCACAAGUUAAAGGACACAGUCCUCUAGACUGCCAACUCUGCCCAAGACUUCAGAUGCCAGUCACAACCUCGGAGGUCCCCAGGGCUCCCCUCACUUCUGACCUGCUGGCUACAAAUUUAGGGGCUCCCUCUACCCCACGAGGAUACCAGUUUGCCCUAACCUAAACUGGGAGCAUCCAAAAAACAAGAUCAGCAAAAUUCGAUAAUUUUAGAAGCUGAACGAGAACCCAGCCUAAGACACCCACAGAGUCAUAAAAUCGGACAUGCACAGCAACACUCCAUCGUUAAAUGGAAGUGGUAUAUAGGAGAUUGGGCCCAAGCAGGACCUGAAGGCACAAGACCCUAUGCUCUGCAGGUCUAGAGGUCUUAGUUCCAGGGGAACCACCUGGAAACACAGCACUUUUCCAAUUGAACUGGAAGUUAAGAAUGCCAGCCAGCCAGCCACUUUGGGCUCCUUAUGCCUCUGGAUCAACAGGCAAAGAAAUCCUGCAUCUGGCUCAUCAUCAUCUGACCUCUGGGUCUUGGGACUUGAGCUAGCAGCUUACCUGCUGAUAUUUGGAUCCAUCAGCGUCUGUAGCCUGUAAGCCAGCAGCCUGCCAUCUUACCUGCUGAUCUUCGGUUCGUCAGCCCCUGCAGCUACAUGAGUCAGAGGAAGCCUUCAGCCUGAUGCCUGACCCAUGGACUUGGGACUUGCUAGCCUCUACAACUGCGUGGGACAUUUCUUUAAGAUAAACCUCUCUCUCUCUUUCUAUAUAUCUAUAUCUAUAUAUAUCUCUAUCUCUGUCUAUCUAUAUUUACACUUCACUGUUUUUGCUUCUCUAGAGAACCCAGUCUAAGACGUUGUCAAUCUAUAAGUGGAUAGGUAUUUGCUUCUGGGCAUCUUUUCAAUUGAUAAAAAGAGUAAAUAAGAAAAAUACAGUAUAUGGCUGAAUUUAAAACCAUCGACUUACAAAGUACAUGGAUUAAUAUAGGCUUAAUUUUCUCAGGAUAUCCUUGGCAUGGUUUAAAAACACCAGAAGGAUUAACUAUAUGGAAUAAGCAAACCAAUAAUAACAAUAAUGAUUAUAAUUUACUGAGCUCCUACUCUGCAUCAGACGUGGUGCUGAGUAUUUUACAUAUGUUUCUCUUAUCCUCACAACCACCCUGUAAGAUGGGCAUAAUGAUUCCUAUUUUAUAGAUCUGAAAGGUGCAGUAAUGAGAGUUUAAAGCAUGUCAUCCAGUGGUGGUGCUAGUUAAGGGGACUCUAGGCUAGUUUCACUGUUCAGAAAUACUUCUUCCCCUCCCUUCCAGUUCUCUGACCUACACCACCCCUUUUCUUUAUGCAUUCAACAAAUGCACCUUUAUUGUUUUUUGCUGAUCAUGGAGGGUUUCCACAUUAUGUCAGUUCGGGAGCUUAAGGAUGGUGCUAUAUUCAGGGGACUCCAGAGAGAAGAUACAUUUUGUAUUUUAUAGUAAAGGCCAUUUAACAAAGAAACCCAAUACCAAUUUCAUAAAUUAAAUUCCUGACACCAACUGAGAUAUCACAGGUACAUGCAAGGAAUAUGUGUACAGAGUGCUAUUUCAAGUGUGGGCUCUUAACAGACCCUUAUUCUCUAUUUUUUAAAAAAACCAAACCCAUUGCCAUCUAGUCGAUUCCAACUUGUAGUGACCCCAUAGGACAGGGUAGAAAUGCCUCAUAGAGUUUCCAAGGAGUGCCUGGUGAAUUUGAGCUGCUGACCUUCUGGUUAGCAGCCGUAGCACUUAACUACUACGCCACCAAGGUUUCCAUUCUCUGUAUUUAGCAGAGCUAAGCCAGAUAGUUUGGGCAUCCUGGGGUAACCCUGGCUGAUUAUAACGUCAGCACAUAUUAUUAUUCCAGGCCUAGUAACAGAGAUGCAGCUCUGACACCCUGCCACUGUGGUCCAACCUCUAGACAGCUCCUGUACACCAUCCAUUAAAAGGUCUGGUUGCCUUUUCUUUCCCUAUCCCAGUGUUCCAGCUUGUUUUCAGUGCGAAGGAGUGAUUUGGUUGGGUGCCAUUCACUUUCUUAAGUAUGUUCUCUUCAGAUUGGUAUCAAAGAUGGCAUGUCCCAACCAAAGUGAACCAUCAGCUUCCUAAGAUCUCUUAUUGGUGAGAUUUGCAGAUACUCCAUCCACACUGCCGUGAGCUGGGCGUCCACGCUUAAAUUCAUUUUUGCUGGAACCACCACAACCCUACUUUAUUUCUCUCUUGGAGACAUUUUUGUUCUGUAUUCAAUCCACAUUUCACACUCCUCCUCAGCAUAUACCCCACCUCCUGUCUCAUGCUACCUGCAAAUAACAUUAGCUUUAGGUAGCUGGCAACAUCCAGAGUGGUCCACAUCCCUCUCUAUCUCUGUCUCUACCAAGGCCAUCCCUCCGGGGUCCUCAAAUGGUCACCACACAAACUGGCUUCUAUUUGGGUCUCCCUUGAGACCUCUGAAAUACCGCCCAAUGGAUCUUCCUUCGCUCUUCACAAGUAAUUCACUUUUGAAAAAUCAUUAUGAGUGGGAGUUUGUAGAUUUACAUGACCCCUCUACGAGCAUAGUGGCCUGGCCUCCGCAUCUCCUUUAGGACGCCUCAGGGAACCAUCAGGAAGUUCACGCUACACCUUGUGUGAGUUUUACAAGAGCAAGCAUGGCCACGUGGAAUAGACUCUACUCAGCAGAAAAAAAGAUUGACUCACCUUGAUUUCUUAAUUAAUUCUGGCACCAAUUCCUAACGCUCUCCAGGGGAAAAAUUUCCUCAGCAGCCAGAGCCUUUUAGAAUGCUAGCAGGAAAUGUACUAUGACUCCAUCUGCACUUAACACCAUUUUAUAUCUAAAGCUUGCAUAAACUUUCAGUGGAAGCUUCUUUUUCUUGGAAAAGAAAACUGCCUUUGUUCUCCAGGGUAUAUUGUUUCUAUUGUAUGUGUAUUUGGGCCUAGGGAUUAUAAUUAAGAUUCUGGUUUAGACAAGAGGGAGAGGAAGUAAAAUAAUCUGUGUUAGGGAUGUCUCAUGAUGCCAGGAGCAGAAUUGUUGUAGUGAUAAGUAAAUUGAGCAGUAAUUAAUCUAUAAAAUGAUUAUGUUCCCAAGAAGAAGGAUAGAGGGCAUUUUGAAGAGUAGGAGAGCAGAGAAGAACUUGUUUGCAGAAAAAAAAGGAAGAAAAAAAAGCAAAGCCGUAUUUCUGCUAGUUUAUUAGUUGAUGUUGAAUUGAUUCUUACUUCUGGCGACCCAAGUGGUCAGAGUAGAACUGUGCUCCAUAGGAUUUUAAAUGGUUGAGUUUUUGAAAGUAAAUCACUGAGCCUUUCUUCUGUGGUGACUCUGGGUGGACUUGAACCCCCAGCCUUUCUGUUAGUAGCUGAGUAUGUUAACCUUUGCGCUACCCAGGGACUUCUCUGUGGGUUUAGUGGUUCUCAAAGUGUGGGCCAUGGAUCAACAUCACCUGGGAUCUUGCUGGAAAUGCAGAUUUUGGGGCUCUACCUUGGACCCUCUGAAUCAGAAACUGGGAGUGGGGUCCAGCAAUCUGUGCUUUAGCAAACCCUAUAGGUGAUUUCGGAUGCAUGCUCAUGUUUGAGAACCACUGAGUUAAAACCUCUUUUUCUGUAAGAAGAAUAUUUGUAUAGGAGAAAGCUGGGGCAAGGAAAUUAAGGGUCAUGUGUUGGCUCGUAUAAACUUGUAUUGCACACGGGGAAACUGAUUCCACCCAGAUCUCCUGGCCAAGGCUGGGGAGAAUGUCCUAGAACAGAGACCCAGGUGCCCCUGCUGGCUCCUUUAGAAUUCAAAAGAAGACUUCACAGCUGAGCUGCCAAAGACUGCAAUCAGACUAAUUAGUCUCUAGGAAUUUCCCAUAAAAACCUGAAGGGCUGAGUUGGAAACCAGUAAGCAAUAGCCCUGGUGAAGUAGGAAAAAGAAAAAAGGACCAACAGUGCUGCUGAAGUACCACAAAAGCCCUUCCUCCCAAGAGGGAAUGAAGGCAGUCUUGUUUCUGUGUAUUAGGCUGUGAAAAGCCAUUCCUUUACUUUGAUGGGAACUGGGCUCAAGAGAGUUUCCCUUCCAGACAGGAGUUGAGGAAAAAACAAAACUGACUGCCAAAUCUAAACUAAAGGCCAAUCCAUAGGCCAGUCAGCCUGCCUGCUUGCACUCCUAUAUCUAUAUAUUCCUUCCUUCUUUUCUAUGUUUCUUCCUUUCCCCAGGGUGGCCAGAAACCUUGGCUCUGAUGAGUCAUUCAGUACUGACCGUGGGGGAUCACCACUGGGCCCAGAACCUGGAGUCAUGUGUAAGCUUUAGCCCACCAUUUUAACCUCUCAUCGCUGAAUUAGAUGAUCUCUAACGUCCCUUCCAGUUCAGAUUUUUCUGUUGAAAAUCAUCUCAUGGUCCAGAGCUUCAUCCCAAAGAGAAAUGCAAUAGGACAGCUAAGAUCCAUCAUCCCUCACCAUUUAUAUUAGUUCAGCAACUGCCCUCUGUCAGGUGUUAUUUUAGACAGAUCAGCUUCUCAGGACUGCCUCAAACCGAUGGCUCAUGUUUCUCUUACUUCCCUGGACUCCCUCAUUCAUGCCUGGAUUUAUGCACUCAACAAGUGCUCACUGAGGUUCGACUUCAUACUAUGCUAGGCCUCGUGCUCCAGAAGUUUUAGGGGGGCCACCGCCUCACAUAUUCUCAUUUCUCCGCUUUUACUUUUGCAGGACCUCUGCCCUCUGCCCAGAACUACCUUUUCUUGUCCAGCUGGUGACUACUUACUUAACCUUCAUAGUUCAUAUCAUAGUUAAAAUGCCAUCUCUGGUUUUCUCUGAUCUCCUUUGAUCCCAAGCAUGUGAAUUGCUUUCUUCUUUAUGUAAUGCUUUCUCAGUAUAUAUGUUGUUGUUGCUAGUUGCCAUUGAGUCGAGUCCUGGAUCAUGGAGACUCCACAUACAAUAGAGCGAAACGUUGCAUGGUCCUGCACCAUCUUCAUGAUCAUUGGUAUGUUUGGGUCCAAUGUUUCGGCUAGUGUGUAGUGCCUUCCAACCUACGGGUCUCAUCUUCUAGCACUAUAUCUGACAAUAUUCUAUUUUGAUCUAUAAGGUUUUCAUUGGCUAAUUUCUUGAAGUAAAUCAUCAGGCCUUUCUUUCUAGUCUGUCUUAGUCUGGAAGCUCUGCUGAAACCUGUCUACCACUGGUGAUGCUGCUGGUAUUGAAAUAUCAGUGGCAUAGCUUCCAGCAUCUUAGUAACAUGCAAACCACCGCAGUAUGACAAACUAACAGAUGGGUAGUAGAUAUAUAAUGUUGUUGUUAGCUGCUGUCAUAUUGGCCCCUGACACAUGGUGACCCUAUGCAAAAUACUACAAAACGCUGCCCAGUCAUGCACCAUCCCUAUGAUUGGUUGUGGAUUGGGCUGUUGUGAUUCAUAGGGUUUUCACUGGCUGACUUUUGGAAGUAGAUCUCCAGGCCUUUCUUCCUAAGGAUAUAUAAUGUAAACCUCUAUUAUAAACACUAUUUUAUUUUAUUCCAUAUGUACAUUUUGUCUUACCCAGAUAGGCUGUGAAAUCCUUAAAGUUAGGAAGCACUGUUUACUUAUUAUGGUAUCCUUAUGCCUAGCACAAAAUUUUUUAUGUCGUACAGCUUCAGUACAGGCAUACCUUGUUUUACUGCAUUUUGCCUCAUUGCACUUCACAAUACUGAGUUUUUUUUUUUUUUACAAAUUGAAGGUUGGUGGUAACCCUUUGUUAAGUCUAUCAAUAUGUGCUCGCUUUGUAUCUCUGUGUCGUAUUUUGGUAAUUUUCACAUUUCAAACUUUUCCAUCAUUAUUGUAACUGUUAUGGUGAUCUGUGAUCAGUGAUCUUUGAUGUUAUUAUUGCAGUUGUUUUGGGGCAUCACAAACCUCACCCUUAUAAGACAGUGAACUUAAUACAUAAAUGUUGUGUGUGUUCUUACUAUUUUACUGGCUGAUCAUUGCCCUAUCUCUCUCCCUCUCCUCAGGCUUCCCGUAUUCCUUGAGACACAACAAUACUGAAAUUAGGCCAGUUAAUAACCCCACAAUGGCCUCUAAGUGUUCAAGUGAAAGGAAGAAUCGCAAGUCUCUCACUUUAAGUAAAAAGCUAGAAAUGAUUAAGGUCAGAGAGGAAGGCAUGUCAAAAGUCGAGAUAGGCUAAAAGCUAGGCCUCUUACACUGAACAGCCAAGCUGUACUGCAAAGCAAGAGUUCUUGAAGAAAGUUAAAAGUGCUACUCUAGUGAACACAUGAAUGAUAAGAGAGUGAAACAACAGCCUUAUUGCUGAUACGGAGAAAGUUUUAGUGGUUUGGUUAGAAGAUCAAGCCAGCCACAACAUUCCCUCAAACCAAAGCCUAAUCCAGAGCAAAGCCCUAACUCUCUUCUAUUCUAUGAAGGCUGAGUGAGGUAAGGAAGCUGCAGAAGAAAAGUUUGAAGCCAGCAGAGGUUGGUUUAUGAGGUUUGAGGAAAGAAGCCAUCUCCAUAACAUAAAAUUGCAAGGUGAAGCAGGAAGUGCUGAUGUAGAAACUGCAGCAAGUUAUCUGGAAGAUCUAGCUGAGAUAACUGAUGAAAACGGCCACACUAAGCAACAGAUUAUCAAUGUAGACAAAACAGCCUCAUAUUGGAAGAAGAUGCCGUCUAGAAAUUUCAUAGCUAGAGAGAAGUCAAUGCCUGACUUUGAAGCUUCAAAAAACAAGAUGACUCUCUUGUUAGGGGCUAAUGGAGCUGGUGCUUUGAGUUGAAGCCAAUGCUCAUUUACUCUUCUGAAAAUUCUAGCGCCUUUAAGAAUUAUGCUAAGUCUACUCUGCCUGUGUUUUAUAAAUGGAACAACAAAGCCUGGAUGACAGCACAUCUGUUUACAACAUGGUUUACUGAAUAUUUUAAGCCCACUUUUGAGGCCUUCUGCUCAGAUAAAAAGAUUCCUUCCAGAAUAUUACUGCUCAUUGACAAUGCAUCUGGUCACCCAAGAGCUCUGAUGGAGAUGUACAAGGAGAUUAGUGUUGUUUUCAUGCCUGCUAACAUCCAUUCUGCAGCCCAUGGAUCAAGGAGUAAGUUUGACUUUCAAGUUUUAUUAUUUAAGAAAUACAUUUCUUAAAGCUAUAGCUGCCAUAGAUAGUGAUUUCUCUGAUGGAUCUGAGCAAAGUAAAUUGAAAACGUUCUGGAAAGGAUUCACCAUUCUAGAUGCCAUUAAAAACAUAUGUGAUUCAUAGGAGGAGGUCAAAAUAUCAACAUUAACAGGAGUUUGGAAGAAGUUGAUUCCAAUGCUCAUGGAUGACUUUGAGGGGUUCAAGACUUUAGUGGAGGAAACAACAGCAGAUGUAGUGGAAAUGUUACCAAUCACCAAUCUGACACAAAGGGUCCUUGUCUCUUCCCAAGUAAGAAUACACACGAAAGAAAAACUUUACGUUCAGCAAGAUUUAUUUUGCUUGAGUUAAGCAAAAGGAGUCAGCGGGGAUCUAAGCCUCUCCAAAAGACGGACUUGAAAAGGAAAGCAAGGCUAGGGCUUAUAUAGGUUCGGCAGAGACAAUAGAGUAAUGACUAUUUAGUGGGCUUCUUUCAAGGGGUGAGUACUUCUCAGAAUGGCGGUGCAUGUUAAUUAGGUUGCCUGCGCAUCUGGAAUCCAAGCUGGAACCCACUGAUAUUCAAGAUGGAGUCCUCUUGGCAGCCCUUGGCAUCACUUAUUAUGGGAUAUAGCGCAAGCGCACUGAUCUUUAGCACUACAUCACCAUCUUUUGAGGGCUAAGGAAGAUUAACCAGCGGUCACCCUUUGUUCUUCUGCGCAUGUGGGAGCCUGUAAAGGGGGAAGGGACUAGAAAAGACACUAAGAAGAAGAUAGUAAUUCAGGAGUUGUUUCAGCCUUAUCUCAUGUUAACAAGGUGUGGUUCUUGUUUACCGAGCUUCUAGAUGGUAAUCUUUUAAUAGCUGUUUGUUUCUGCCAGCACAGUUAACCCUGUCUUAGAAAUAGCAAGAAAACUAGAAUUAGAAGUGGAGCCUGAAGCUGUGACUGAAUUGAUGCAAUCUCCUGAUAAAACUUUAAUGGAUGAGGAGUUGCUUCUUUUGGAUGAGCAAAGAAAGUGGUUUCUUGAGGUGGACUAUACUCCUGGUGAAGAUGUUGUGAACAUUGUUGAAACGACAACAAAGUAUUUAGAAUAUUACAUAAACUUAGUUGAUAAAGCAGUGGCAGGGUUUGAGAGGACUGACUCCAAUUUUGAAAGAAGUUCUACUGUGGGUAAAAUUCUAUCAAAUAGCAUUGUGUGCUACAGAGAAAUCUUUUGUGAAAGGAAGAGUCAAUCAAUGUGGGAAACUUCAUUGUUGUAUUCUUUUAAGAAAAUGCCACAGCCACCCCAACCUUCCACAGCCAUCACAUUGAGUCAUCAAUCGUCAACAUCAAGGCAAGACCUUCCGCCAGCAAAAAGAUUAGGACUUGCUGAAGGCUCAGAUGGUGACUAGCAUUGUUUGUUGUUGUUGUUAGGUGCCAUCGAGUCAGUUUCAACUCAUAGCAACCCUGUAUACCACAGAACAAAACACUGCCUGGUCCUGUGCCAUUCUUACAAUCAUUGUUACUCUUGAGCCCAUUGUUGCAGCCACUGUGUCAAUCCAUCUUGUUGAAGGUCUUCCUGUUUUCCGCUGACCCUAUACUUUACCAGGUAUGUAAGACGCAGUCUCGCCAUCCUUGCUUCUAAGGAGCAUUCUGGUUGUACUUCUUCCAAGGCAGAUUUGUUUGUUCUUUCAGCAGGCCAAGGUAUAUUCAGUAUUCUUCACCAACACCACAAUUCGAAGGCAUCAAUUCUUCUUUGGUCUUUCUUAUUCAUUUUCCAGCUUUCACAUGCAUAUGAUGCGAUUGAAAAUGCCAUGGCUUGGGUCAGGUGCAGCUUAGUCUUCAAGGUGACAUCUUUGCUUUUCAACACUUUAAAGAGGUCCUUUGCAGCAGAUUUGUCCAAGGCAAUGUGUCUUUUGAUUUCUUGAGUGCUGCUUCCAUGGCUGUUGAUUGGGGAUCCAAGUGAAAUGAAAUCCUGGACAACUUCAAUCUUUUCCCUGUUUAUCAUGAUGUGGCUUAUUGGUCCAGUUGUGAGGAUUUUUGUUUUUUUUAUCUUGAGGUGUAAUCCAUACUGAAAGCUGUGGUCUUUGAUCUUCAUCAGUAAGUGCUUCAAGCCCCUUAACUUUCAGCAAGCAAGGUUGUGUCAUCUGCAUCACACAUGUUGUUAAUGAGUCUUCCUCCAAUCCUGAUGUCCCGUUCUUUUUCAUAUAGUCCAGCUUCUCAGAUUAUUUGCUCAGCAUACAGACUGAAUAGGUAUGGUGAAAGGAUACAACCCUGACAUACACCUUUCUUGACUUCAUCCUCUCAGCAUCCCCUUUUUCUGUCCAAAAAACUUCCUCUUGAUCUAUGUACAGGUUCCUCACAAUUAAGUGCUCUGGAAUUUCCAUUCUUCACAAUGUUAUCCAUAAUCUGCUAUGAUCCACAUAGUUGAAUGCAUUUGCAUAGUCAUUGUUUAGCAUUAUUUAGCAAUAAAGUAUUGACUAAGGUGUGUACUUUUUUUUUAGACAUAAUACUAUUACACACUUAAUAGACUACAGUGUAGUGUAAACAUAACUUUUAUAUGCACUGAGAAACCAAAAACUUCAUGUGACUCGCUUUAUUGCGAUAUUCCCUUUAUUGCAGUGGCCUGGAAUUGUGCACACAACAUCUCCAAGUAUGCCUGUAAUGCUGGAUUGAAGCACAGUGAUUUAAAUAUUUAGUUUCUUCAUCUUUUCACAUAAAGAAAAACUGAGAGUCUUUUUCUUCUAACCUACGAGUAUUUAUUUAUUAAUUUUUUUAUUGUAAAAAUAUAGAAAACACAAACAACAUUUGCCAAUUCAAUAUUUUUCAUGUGUACGAUUCAAUAAAACCAAUUACAUCAAACAUUUUAUGCAGUCAUCACCAAUUUCAGUUGCCAAAAUUUCCCUCCUAUGGAUAUUUAUUUUUAAUUAGAGCAAGUUUCCUAGAGGUAGACAAUGAAUAUAUGACCAAAGUUAUCUAACCCAGGGAAAGAAGACUGAAAUAAAAUAUAAAAAAUAAUCCAAGGAUGAUAUGGAGUAUCAUUAUUGAAAGAAAUAUAUGCCCUGAGCCAAUAAAAAUGUACAGUGAGUCAUUUGUGGGAAAGAUUGCUUUCAAGUAUUUAGUAUGGAUUGUAAAUUCUAUGGAGAAAGGCAGAAUAGGCAAAAAUAUUUUUGGCUCAUGAAGUUUUUGCUAUUAUCGACAUAGUUGGUGCAUAUGCAUUUAUACAAUCUGAAAACCAGGGAUAGAAAUUAGCAUUAUUUAUUGUCUAUAACUGGAGGUUACAGUUCCAAACUAAAGACUACUUAUCUCUAGACUACUAUUCCGUAAUUCGAUUCCUUACAUGGUUACAGCAAAUUUAAAAACUGUCAAUUGAGGAUAUAAACUAAGUUAGCUACUAUAAGGUAUAUGUGUGGAAAAGAGUUAUUUACAUGCUUAUAAGGCCCUGUCAGGCCAGGGAAAGUACGUGAAAAGCCUCACAAUGAAUUGCUGCCUGUCAGAACCUUUGGAAAUGUUAAGUACCAUACAAGCGCACAGGAGGACUCCUGCUAACAUUGUUUUACUGUCCUACCAAAUAACUAUGGCAAUAUCAUGCCAUUCCCCUCACCCAGUUUAACAUAUCAUUUGCAUUUACAGUGUAAAGUUGUUAUUAAAGGCAGGAUAUUUUUGCAAGUGCAAAUGUUGUGUCUUCUCUUUUCUCUCUCUUAUAGUGGUACAGUAUUUAAGAACCUGCUGCUCAGCCACCUGUUCAUGUUCAUUAAUGGGAAAACUAUGUUCCUGUCAGCAGAUUUCUCUCCUCGGUUAUAAUGUUUGCAGAGGAAUAUUGCCCCCAACUCAUCUCGGAUGACUGGCUUCAGAAAGAGCACAGAGUUGGGCACCAAGAUCCCAGGACAUGUAUGUAGCACAGGAAAAGGGAAGAAGAAAAGGGAGGUGGUUAAAAACAAUUCCAAAGAACAAAAGAAACCAAGGACUGAGCAUUCACAGUGAAUUUUAACGUCUGAUGGUUCUCACGGAGUUUCACAUUUUGGGAAGAUUUCUCUUUCUCUCGAUACUUUGUGAAGAAGCUCUUAUUACAAAACAGUGAAGCAACCUUUGUUCCACAUUUUUCAAGUACCAUAAAGGAAUGAAAAAAAAAAUCUCAUUAAGCAGAUUUUUCUGGUUAAUAAAGUAUAUUUAUUUGAGCACUAUUUUAUGUUUAUGCAAGUGGCUCCAAUGCUUAUUUCAUGUUAAAGGGUGAAUCUACUCAGUCUGGAGAUACAGGAGAGAAAUAGACUCAAUGGCCAUUGUAAAAUGAUUAUUUCUGUGUUUCAUACCAUGCAAAUUACCAAUAGAAAUCGUAAGAUAUGUGUGCAGAUAAAGAUUUCUAUGUUUUUGAUAUUAAUCUGUUAAUUAGCAGCAAUACUCAUUGUGACUUCACAGUGAGCCGAGCCCUGGAUUGGAUGCUAAGGGUGAUGACCAGGUCUAGUUCACGGUUUGUCCCCUCUGUCCAUGUUCUGCCUAUAAAACCAGUUGUCAUCGAGUCAAUUCCGACUCAUGGUGACACCAUGUGUGUCAGGGUGGAACUGUGCUCCAUAAGGCUUUCAGUGACUGAUUUUUUAGAUAUCCCCAGGCCUUUCUUCUGAGGCAAAUCUGGGUGGACUCAAAUCUCUAACCUUUCUGUUAGCCUUCAAGUACUUUAACCAUUUGCACCACUCAAGGACUCCAUGCUUUGCCUGUAUAGGUGUUAAAUAAACAUCUGUCGUUAAGUAAAAUUGGAGCCAGCCUCUGCACACUGCCCCUGGCUGACAGAGAAACCACGAGAGAAAAACCAAGGAUGUUUAUCUGCAAGCCCAGGCUGCAGAGUCCAUAUAUCGGGGAUGUGUAAUAACUGCCUAGAAUCGGAGGGCUCAUUCCUGAGACACCUGUGUGUGAGUGAGCCUUGAACAGAGCAGGAUGAACUUCACAAGGCAAGUGUCUGAAGGCAAAAUAUGCCCUAGGUAGGUCCCUGUUUUAUAUUCUGUUUCCCCUCAUCCACCUUCGUGGUAUUGUUUUAGCUCUAAAACAUGCUCCUAAAUGAAGCUUCCCUCUUGUGCCCUUUAUACUGGCAAAUGGUGAUAUCAACUUUAAGAGCAUAAACAAGAAAAAAUCUUAGACAAAAUAAGUGCAACUUUAACAGGUGGAGUUUUCAGAUGAGAUCGCCAUCAUCCUUCCCUAGAGGAGAGUUUGUGACUUCAUGGGAGCAUCCGGAGGACAUUUCUCCUCCUGGGGAACAGCAUGUCUGAGGCAUGGAAACAAGAACAAGCAAAGUGUAACGUUUUUUGUAUCCUGGGAUGGAGACUACAUCUUGGAGGAAACAAAAAACCAGGAUGAGACUUCAAGACGCUGGGAGAAGACAUUGAAGGCUCCGCCAGAAGCUUUGAAAUGAGAGCGGAGAGGAGCAGCUACAGGCUGCUAGGGGUUAGAGUCUCUUCUCUUUAGUGUGUUGUAGAAGUGACUCAGCUCCCUAAAAGACCAUUCAAGAGUUCUUUCACCCCUUUUGUUUUGAGAGGAAAGAGCCUGUGAUAGAAGGUAGGUAGUGUGGAAUCUGGAUCAUAUUCCACUAUAUUUGAGCAAGUCUUUUAGAUUUGCUGGACUGACAAUAAUAGUCUACCUGACUAAAGGCAGGAGAUUGGAUGUGCCAUCCCCUGAGGCCCCUUCUAACUCUAAGACAAAUUGUUUCACGAAGAAAAUGGUGUGAGAGACAAUGCUCUCUAAAGGUUGUUCAUAAGGCAGGUGGGGAAAUGAAGGAAUGGAAUUGAUGUAUUUGUUGAGUAUCAACUGUGUGACAGCCAUUGUGCUAGGUGAACAUACACCCAUGAAAAUGUACAAAUGAACUUAUGUGAUCCAAUUGACAAUAGAAACUUGAAAGGAUAGAUGAGAAACUUAGAGGGGAGUGAGUUUGUGUUAACGACGGUGAAAUAAUUUGGGAAAAGCUGUGGAGAAAUGUAGCCAGUGUCACUGAAUUGUACGUAGAAAAAUUGUUGAAGUGUGCAUGUUUUGUUGUACUUUCACUAAAAUAAAUAAAUAACACUAUUAAAAAAUUUUUUUUUUUUUUUUUUUUACCAAUGAAUAAAAAGACAUAAGUCCUUCCCUCAAGGGUUUCUGGAAGGAUAGAGCAAUUCUUAAGAAAGUGGCCUUUGUCUACUUUCAGCUCCCUGCUUUGUUGCUUAUCAGCUGUAUGACUUUAAGCAAGUUACUUACAGG
Long non-coding RNA from Loxodonta africana (African savanna elephant), 14673 nucleotides. RefSeq lists it as uncharacterized. The record is from RefSeq and is a predicted model, not a curated record. The transcript is spliced from 6 exons. NCBI's taxonomy places the organism in Eukaryota, Metazoa, Chordata, Mammalia, Proboscidea, Elephantidae.